This 253-nucleotide ribosomal RNA is filed under the name uncultured bacterium. RNAcentral's name for it is "partial 16S ribosomal RNA". It matches the Rfam family "Bacterial small subunit ribosomal RNA", at positions 524 to 776 of the family's 1533-position model. The record is from RNAcentral.
UACGUAGGGGGCAAGCGUUGUCCGGAUUUAUUGGGCGUAAAGAGCGUGUAGGCGGCCAAGCAGGUCAGCUGUGAAAACUCGAGGCUCAACCUCGAGACGUCGGUUGAAACCGCUUGGCUAGAGUCCGGAAGAGGAGAGUGGAAUUCCCGGUGUAGCGGUGAAAUGCGCAGAUAUCGGGAGGAACACCGGUGGCGAAGGCGGCUACCUGGACAGAAACUGACGCUGAGGCACGAAAGCUAGGGGAGCAAACAGG